UACAGAGACUGCAAGCGUUAUUCGGAUUCACUGGGCGUAAAGGGUGCGCAGGCGGCCGAGUGUGUGAGGCGUGAAAGCCCGGGGCUUAACCCCGGAAUUGCACCUCAAACUACACGGCUAGAGCAUUGGAGAGGGUAGCAGAAUUCAUGGUGUAGCAGUGAAAUGCGUAGAUAUCAUGAGGAAUACCAGUGGCGAAGGCGACUGACUGGACAAGUAUUGACGCUGAGGCACGAAAGCGUGGGGAGCAAACAGG
RNAcentral lists this ribosomal RNA (253 nucleotides) under uncultured bacterium. Its description in RNAcentral is "partial 16S ribosomal RNA". It matches the Rfam family "Bacterial small subunit ribosomal RNA", at positions 524 to 776 of the family's 1533-position model. The record is from RNAcentral.